Molecule: ribosomal RNA, 468 nt
Filed under: uncultured bacterium
Lineage: Bacteria
Description: partial 16S ribosomal RNA
Rfam family: Bacterial small subunit ribosomal RNA
Source: RNAcentral
GACGAACGCUGGCGGCGUGCUUAACACAUGCAAGUCGAACGGAAAGGCCCUGCUUUUGUGGGGUGCUCGAGUGGCGAACGGGAGAGUAACAAGUGAGUAACCUGCCCUUGACUUUGGGAUAACUUCAGGUAACUGGGGCUAAUACCGGAUAGGAGCUCCUGCUGCAUGGUGGGGGUUGGAAAGUUUCGGCGGUUGGGGAUGGACUCGCGGCUUAUCAGCUUGUUGGUGGGGUAGUGGCUUACCAAGGCUUUGACGGGUAGCCGGCCUGAGAGGGUGACCGGCCACAUUGGGACUGAGAUGAGGCACAGACUCCAACGGGAGGCAGCAGUGGGGAAUAUUGCACAAUGGGCGGAAGCCUGGUGCAGCAGCGCCGCGUGCGGGAUAACGGCCUUCGGGUUGUAAACCGCUUUCGCCUGUGACGAAGCGUGAGUGACGGUAAUGGGUAAAGAAGCACCGGCUAACUACGUG